Long non-coding RNA from Mugil cephalus (flathead mullet), 2346 nucleotides. RefSeq lists it as uncharacterized. The transcript has 5 exons. The record is from RefSeq and is a predicted model, not a curated record. Lineage: Eukaryota; Metazoa; Chordata; Actinopteri; Mugiliformes; Mugilidae.
CGGCAACUGAGACGCGCCCGUAGAAACAGGUUUGACGUCCUGGUCUUGAAAUCAUGGCCGACCAUCUUUUUAAAAGGUGCCCCCUGCAACCACUGUGAUGAUCACUGAUUUACUUCAUUAAGCGCUUGCUUGCAAAUGAGGGUCUGCGCGGAGCAGAUAAGGCACACCCAGCCAAGGACUGAGGGCACCAAAUCAACCAGGAAUAAAAAAGUGGCGAGAGGAGGAAAUUCUCCUAAAGGAGACAACAAGACAUACGGCGUUCAUGCCUCUCGCGUGAGCUAGACUGACUUACAUAAGAUCUAAAUAUGGCUCGGCCCAUUUAAGUCUGGCAGCACCCAAGGUCAGUGAGCAGGACGUGAAAUCUGAAGGGCUUUCUCGGCUCCUUGGGGAGGAGGCCGGUGCCGUGAGAUGGUCAGGGGAAGUCUCCGUGGUCCUCUUAUCUUCAGUGAGCAACGAACCCCACAGGCCCUCUAAGGCUAAUAUAUCUACAAAAUGACUCUUACCAGAGUGGCACCGCUGAUGACCAGCAGGUCAAACCACCCCAUACAAUGUCACAGAGCUGAUUGGAAGCCAGCAGGAUCUCUACAAUGUGACUGGCUCCUCACAGGGCCUCUUUGAUACAUCAGACUCUCUGGGGUUUCACACGCCUUCCACAAUCCUGGUGACCUCUUUUUUAUGACUGGCUGACUGCUGCGGGGGGAAGACGCCCGAUGAAGAGCAGCGCCAAGAGGCAACCGUGCGAUGGUCGCGGCCACGGGCUGCACGCGAAAUCAGGGCAGGGGCCACGGCGUUUGAAUCCCCGCUUCCCCCGCUUCUCCUUAGGGUUUUCCAUGGGGACAGGAAGUCACAGCACUUGAGGCAGAUGACUUCCUGUGGGACGGGCAUGCCUUGGGACUGUGCUGAUUACAGCAACAGCCUGAACAAACACGGACCAAUAAAUCACUCUCGCACAUUGUCAAAUCCUGCACACAGCAGUGCAGCACAUUUGUUAUUUUGUCGCGGAGGGUGUGUGUUUGUGCAUUCAUGUAUGUGUGCGCUCAUGUGCUUCUACAUAGAGGUGCAUGCAUGCAUAUGUAUUAGCACAUGCAAUGUAUGUAGUGUAUAUUUAUAGGCAUGCAGCCUCCCUCUCUGCUAAUGUAUUAGCAGGUCAUCUAUUUUAAAAAGGAAGCUUUGUCUGGUUUUGACAGCAAGCCAGUGUCCACUGAAUGAUUGUAUAGGACACUGAGGGCUAAGGGACAGCUCCCUGUUGGUCAUUCGAGACCUUCACGCACACUCAGCCAGUCUGAAGCAGUGCAGUGGUCAUUGCCAAAACUAAUGGCAGUGAAGCACGAGGGGCUCGCCUGACGGGAUGAGUGAUGGUGCAACCUGGCCAGGCCUUGGUCAAGGGACAUCUGUGCGCAGGACUUAGCUGGAGGUGGCUGAACGAAUGUGAGAGACAAACAACAUCACUCAGAGCACAGCCCGGGUCUCUUCUCUGGUGGUGGGUGUCGCUACAAUAAAAGCCAGUGAAAUACAGUCCUAUCAUGUAGGCUGGUGUGUAAGUCAUAUAUCACUUGGGUUUAGCAUUUCAUUCGCAGACACCGGUCUUCGUCAGGGUGAAAGUGAGAAGCAACUGUCAUUGCCGCCGUGCCCACUGUCAUCUCGCUAUCUCGGCAGACGGCGGCAGAGAAAAAAAAAAAAAAAAACCCCAGCAGAAUCAAAGGGACAAAUUACAUCCCCCGCAAACGUUUGGACUGAUGUCAAAGUGGGGCAGCGUGGUAAUUUCGGCAUUAUCUCCACAGUGUCCACGGUUUUCUCUGUCAAGGGCGAUGCACAGCAGGGCCAGCCCCUGAUGUGAACCUGCCUGCAUGGACAGCUCCAGAGGGACGGCUAAUCCCUUUAUCUGGUGCUCCUCUUAUCUCCCACAUGGUGAUGGCUGGGAGGAACUGGCUCCACUCAGGACUGCACGGACCCCUUGGGGCAGGCAGGGAUAUCCCAGCCAAACCCCUCUGAGUGAACACAAACAGGAAACAAGAGAGAGGAGCAAAGAGACGGAGGGGGGCACCUCAAAAACCCAGACAAAUCUAAAGGAAGAAAUGACCUAACUUGACAUGGGACACUGAGUCAGGAUCUGCCUCUUGCCAAAGUCUGAGAUCAUAGGAAGAGAGGGGAGAGAGAGCGAGAGGAGGGAGGAGCUGAGGGGGUUUUAAAUUUUGUUGUUGGGUUUCUUGGCACACUAGACAGAGGCCUAAUCGACGCCGGCUUGGCAGCUAGGCUGGGUGAAAGCUGGGGGCUGAGCAGAUCACGUUUUUGUCUCCAGGGUUGCUUUACUUUUGUUUCAUCUUAGCAGGCAAGAAGAAAAGCCAA